Molecule: ribosomal RNA, 542 nt
Filed under: uncultured bacterium
Lineage: Bacteria
Description: bacterial SSU rRNA
Rfam family: Bacterial small subunit ribosomal RNA
Source: RNAcentral
CGGGAGGCAGCAGUGGGGAAUUUUUGACAAUGGGGGCAACCCUGAUCCAGCAAUGCCGCGUGUGUGAAGAAGGCCUUCGGGUUGUAAAGCUCUUUCGGACGGAACGAAAAGGUUAGCGUGAAUAACGCUGAUUAAUGACGGUACCGUAAGAAGAAGCACCGGCUAACUACGUGCCAGCAGCCGCGGUAAUACGUAGGGUGCGAGCGUUAAUCGGAAUUACUGGGCGUAAAGCGUGCGCAGGCGGUUCGCCAAGUCAGGUGUGAAAUCCCCGGGCUUAACCUGGGAAUUGCGCUUGAAACUAGCGGGCUUGAGUGCGGCAGAGGGGGGUGGAAUUCCACGUGUAGCAGUGAAAUGCGUAGAGAUGUGGAGGAACACCGAUGGCGAAGGCAGCCCCCUGGGUCGACACUGACGCUCAUGCACGAAAGCGUGGGGAGCAAACAGGAUUAGAUACCCUGGUAGUCCACGCCCUAAACGAUGUCGACUAGGUGUUGGGGAAGGAGACUUCCUUAGUACCGCAGCUAACGCGUGAAGUUGACCCGCCC